This 482-nucleotide ribosomal RNA is filed under the name uncultured bacterium. Its description in RNAcentral is "partial 16S ribosomal RNA". It matches the Rfam family "Bacterial small subunit ribosomal RNA", at positions 30 to 507 of the family's 1533-position model. The record is from RNAcentral.
AUUGAACGCUGGCGGCAUGCUUUACACAUGCAAGUCGAACGGUAACAGCACUUCGGUGGCUGACGAGUGGCGAACGGGUGAGUAAUACAUCGGAACGUGCCUAGUAGUGGGGGAUAACUACUCGAAAGAGUAGCUAAUACCGCAUGAGAUCUAAGGAUGAAAGCAGGGGACCUUCGGGCCUUGCGCUACUAGAGCGGCUGAUGGCAGAUUAGGUAGUUGGUGGGAUAAAAGCUUACCAAGCCGACGAUCUGUAGCUGGUCUGAGAGGACGACCAGCCACACUGGGACUGAGACACGGCCCAGACUCCUACGGGAGGCAGCAGUGGGGAAUUUUGGACAAUGGGCGCAAGCCUGAUCCAGCAAUGCCGCGUGCAGGAUUAAGGCCUUCGGGUUGUAAACUGCUUUUGUACGGAACGAAAAGCCCUCUUCUAAUACAGGAGGGUCAUGACGGUACCGUAAGAAUAAGCACCGGCUAACUACGUG